AGAACUCAAAAAAAGAGGAGUGUCAUAUAACCUCAUGGCUGUGCCCAGCUUAUAUGUCACAAUCACCCCAGUGGGCAGGGCCCAGGCAUGAGAUCAGAGUCACAACAUGUAGGUGCUGGGCCAAGUGAUAUGUCACAAUGCCCACUGUAGACAGGUUCCAGGAAGAAAAGGAGCAUCACAUCAUCUAGGUGAUAAACCCUGAGAUAUCUCACAAUGACCCCUUUGUGCAGAGAUCACAAAGAAGAAUCAUAUAACCUGUGUGCUGGAUCCAGUGGUAUGAAAGUCAACACCUGUAUUUUGGGUCUAAGUACAUGAGACACAAUGGUGGACAAUCUAUACUGAGAGCCUCAAUUCUUCCUGUAGACAGUGUCUCCUCAGUGGAGUAAAAGCCUCACGGUGUGUUGAAUCUUGGUCUGAGAGUCGCCAACCCACUGGUGGACCGGAUCCACUUACAAGAGUCAAUGUUCAAACUUUCAACUGUCUCCAGCUGUGAGAUUCAGAACCUCAACAGUCACUUUACAACCUUGGAGAGGUCAUUUGACACCUCUGUGCCUCAGUUUCUUCAUCUGCAAAAUGGAGAUGGUGUCCCGGACUUUGCAGCACUAUUUUGAAGGUCAGAGAUAAUGGGUAUCAGCACUGCGCCUGGGACAUGGUAGGAACUAAGUGUGACACUCUAGGCCUCUCCCCAGUCCUCAGGAGCCUCAUCUACUGCUGCAUAUUAAGAUUCCCCACCCACGGCCGGGUGUGGUGGCUCACACCUGUAAUCCCAGCGCUUUGGGAGGCCAAGGUGGGAGGAUCA
RNAcentral lists this long non-coding RNA (799 nucleotides) under Homo sapiens (human). RNAcentral describes it as "HSALNT0396665". Lineage: Eukaryota; Metazoa; Chordata; Mammalia; Primates; Hominidae. The record is from RNAcentral.